GAUGAAGAACGCAGCGAAAUGCGAUAAGUAAUGCGAAUUGCAGAAUUCAGUGAGUCAUCGAAUCUUUGAACGCACAUUGCGCCCGCCAGUAUUCUGGCGGGCAUGCCUGUUCGAGCGUCAUUUCAACCCUCAAGCCCCCGGGCUUGGUGUUGGGGAUCGGCGUGCCCUCGCGGCGCGCCGUCCCCUAAAUCUAGUGGCGGUCUCGCUGUAGCUUCCUCUGCGUAGUAGCAACACUCGCACUGGAUCGCAGCGCGGCCACGCCGUUAAACCCCCCACUUCUGAAAGUUUGACCUCGGAUCAGGUAGGAAUACCCGCUGAACUUAAGCAUAUCAAUAAGCGGAGGA
This 344-nucleotide unclassified non-coding RNA is filed under the name soil metagenome. Its description in RNAcentral is "partial contains 5.8S ribosomal RNA, internal transcribed spacer 2, and large subunit ribosomal RNA". The stretch from base 1 to 120 matches the Rfam family "5.8S ribosomal RNA", at positions 35 to 154 of the family's 154-position model. The record is from RNAcentral.